AGUGGCGAACUGGUGAGUAACACGUGGGUAACCUGCCCAGAAGAAGGGGAUAACACCUGGAAACAGAUGCUAAUACCGUAUAACAACAAGAACCACAUGGUUCUUGUUUGAAAGACUGGUCUUUGUUGCUAGUGCUUCUGGAUGGACCCGCGGCGUAUUUAGCUAGUUGGUGAGAUAAUAGCUCACCGAGGCAAUGAUACGUAGCAGACCUGAGAGGGUAAUCUGCCACAAUGGGACUGAGACACGGCCCAUACUCC
RNAcentral lists this ribosomal RNA (257 nucleotides) under uncultured Lactobacillus sp. Its description in RNAcentral is "partial 16S ribosomal RNA". It matches the Rfam family "Bacterial small subunit ribosomal RNA", at positions 94 to 339 of the family's 1533-position model. The record is from RNAcentral. Lineage: Bacteria; Bacillati; Bacillota; Bacilli; Lactobacillales; Lactobacillaceae.